RNAcentral lists this long non-coding RNA (971 nucleotides) under Prunus persica (peach). RNAcentral's name for it is "long non-coding RNA (PPER_LNC003211)". The record is from RNAcentral. Lineage: Eukaryota; Viridiplantae; Streptophyta; Magnoliopsida; Rosales; Rosaceae.
CCUGAUUAUAUGUCUAUAUUUAAAUAUAUGCUCGAUGGCUUGAAAUCGAUGAAUUAUGAAUACUAAUUUUUUGAAAAGUAUGUUGUGCAUAAAUGAUUUUGAAUGAGAACGUAGUCUAUUUUUGAUUUAUUAGAUUAUGGAAAGUAUGCUCUAAUCGGAUUAUGGGAUUCGUGUGACAUGAGGAUUUUAGCGAAUAUUUAGUCAUUAUUAUUAUGGUUAUUAUUAUUGUCGUUAUCAUUAUUAUGUAUAAAGGUUUCCAUGUCGAGAGAAUAUAUAUAAUAUUGGGAUAUGGGUUUGUGAAUUGCACCAUCAUAUGUACCUUUCCCGGUUCGAUAUGGAUAAUAACCACCCAUGCAUUGAGGUAUUUUUCGACGUUGCGAGAUGUUGAUUAUCCAGGCACCCUUGGCGUGGUGUGUCGUGACCUUGACCGGCAUUCCAUUCGCGUAAGACUUAUUUCAGGUGCAUGGUAUUGAGGAUUCUACCGUACCUGUCUGGAGAGCAAUAGUCCCCUGGUUGGACUGCUCAUUCCCUAGCCACAUGAGUAUUGAGGAUUCUGUCAUGUGGUCCAGUAAAACAAUCCCUGUGUUGGAUUGUUUCCCCCCAGUACAUGAUGUGCACUAUCAUAUAUACCUCCCCUAAUAUUGAUACUUGAUAUAUUAGACACAAGGUAACUCUUCGGAGGUGUGUUAGGAUACCGGGCACCCUUGACUGGGUGUACCGAAGACCUUGACCGGCAGUCUGCAUGAGUAGGAUAGAUAUUUAGCCACAUGUGUAUUGAGGAUUCUACCGUGUGUAUCUGGGGAGCAAUAGUCCCCCAGUUAGACUGCUCAUUCCUUAGCCACAUGAGUAUUGAGGAUUCUGCUAUGUGGUCUAGUUAAAACGAUCCCCGUGAUGUAUUGUUUUUCACCGGUACAUGAUGAUUGUGUGAGUUGUGUAAUACACACACACACACACACACACACACACACACA